GCAUGGAGACAAAGUUAUAAUUUUUUUUUUUUUUAAGAAGUAGUUGUUCUUUUUAUCAAUUUAUUUAAAUUUCUUUUUUAUUCUUUUUUCUUUUAAAUAAAACUUAAUUUUUCAAUUUUAACAAAAUAAUAUAUACAAAAGAAUAUGAGAAUAUCCUCCGGCGUCGAGGGAAUUGCACAUAUAGAAAUUCCAAAAAGAAUUGAUUUGAUCCAGGUCAUAAUCUUUAUGGGAUUCCCAAAGUUAUUAAUAGAAAAUAGACCGCGAGGAAUCCAAGAAUUACAGAUUAAUCUAGAAAAAGAAUUUAAUUAUGUGAACCAAAAACUUAACGUUGCUAUCACAAGAAUUGCAAAACCUUAUGGAAACCCUAAUAUUCUUGCAGAAUUUAUAGCCGGACAAUUAAAGAAUAGAGUUUCAUUUCGAAAAGCAAUGAAAAAAGCUAUUGAAUUCAUUUUUAUGUUUUUGAAAUUGAAAUAAGAUUUCCUCCGCUUAAUAGAUAACCAUUUGCUACCAAUGGAGAAUUCCUUCUCAUCUUAAAUUCAGGUGAUUGGAUUUGCACCAAUGGAAA
RNAcentral lists this long non-coding RNA (565 nucleotides) under Olea europaea subsp. europaea. The record is from RNAcentral. Lineage: Eukaryota; Viridiplantae; Streptophyta; Magnoliopsida; Lamiales; Oleaceae.